RNAcentral lists this non-coding RNA (368 nucleotides) under Rhizobium sp. RNAcentral also lists the same sequence under 1 other name. The record is from RNAcentral. Lineage: Bacteria; Pseudomonadati; Pseudomonadota; Alphaproteobacteria; Hyphomicrobiales; Rhizobiaceae.
UAAUCAUCGGCCAUGGAUGGUUCCCGAGGAUGCGGAGCAUUUUCGGGAGUAAAUGGGAAUGCGAAAGGAUGGACCCAAGCAGGGCAUCCCCAUCGCAGCCGACCCCGCGACUGUAGAACGGUCAGGGUCCGCCAUCCGGCGGGCAAGAGACGGGCGGAUGGGUCGCAUGGUGCGGCCGGCGCCGGUCGAACGCCAUGCCGGAAAAGCCACUGAAGACUGUCACGAUCAGCCGGGGUGGGACGCCUCUUCUUCUACGAAUCGUCCGCCUUUUCGUGAAAGCUCCUUCGGGAAGGCGAGGCGGGCCCGUUCGCGCCUUUUUGGCGCGUGGCGCCGUGAGCCAGGAGACCUGCCGUCCAAGAAGGGCAUCC